GAUAAGAACUUGGAAGGGUAGAGGGAGAAUUAUUUUCCAUCCCCUGCAGUGUCACAGGAUUAUUAACAGCAGUAAAAGCCAAAAUGACCAACUUCAACUUUACUGAGCCCCUGAGGAUGUUUUGGAAGCAGGAGGAUGGAGCUGAAUUUUCUGAGAGGCUGGACACAUGCGUUGGCUGAAAGAGUCAUGCAGCUCAGUGCUAUGGCCAUCUGUGUACUCAGGAGAUAUUGGUUGAAAUUUGAAACAGGAAAAAUUGGCUGAAACCCAAAGAUUAUUAUGAAAAAAGAGUCAGAAGAAACUCAUGAUGGGCUGCGUUCCAGGAAGAGGAAAUGGGCCAAGGCUGGAGGAAAAGACCACCAUUCAGACAGGAGGAAAUACACACCGAAUGGAAAAUGAAGACACAGAGAUUAACAUCCACAUUCUGAAAGCGAUAACAGUGCAGUGUUCAGUAAAUGGCUUGGCAAAAAAUUUCAUUUUGUCUCCUGAAUAAACAUCAA
This is a long non-coding RNA of Hyaena hyaena (striped hyena), 497 nucleotides long. RefSeq lists it as uncharacterized. The transcript has 4 exons. Lineage: Eukaryota; Metazoa; Chordata; Mammalia; Carnivora; Hyaenidae. The record is from RefSeq and is a predicted model, not a curated record.